GAGUUUGAUCGUGGCUCAGGAUAAACGCUGGCGGCGUGCAUGAGACAUGCAAGUCGAACGGUAGAGAGAAGCUUGCUUCUCUUGAGAGCGGCGGACGGGUGAGUAAUGCCUAGGAAUCUGCCUGGUAGUGGGGGAUAACGCUCGGAAACGGACGCUAAUACCGCAUACGUCCUACGGGAGAAAGCAGGGGACCUUCGGGCCUUGCGCUAUCAGAUGAGCCUAGGUCGGAUUAGCUAGUUGGUGAGGUAAUGGCUCACCAAGGCGACGAUCCGUAACUGGUCUGAGAGGAUGAUCAGUCACACUGGAACUGAGACACGGUCCAGACUCCUACGGGAGACAGCAGUGGGGAAUAUUGGACAAUGGGCGAAAGCCUGAUCCAGCCAUGCCGCGUGUGUGAAGAAGGUCUUCGGAUUGUAAAGCACUUUAAGUUGGGAGGAAGGGCAGUAAAUUAAUACUUUGCUGUUUUGACGUUACGACAGAAUAAGCACCGGCUAACUCUGUGCCAGCCGCCG
This 512-nucleotide ribosomal RNA is filed under the name uncultured bacterium. RNAcentral describes it as "bacterial SSU rRNA". It matches the Rfam family "Bacterial small subunit ribosomal RNA", at positions 9 to 517 of the family's 1533-position model. The record is from RNAcentral.